UUUCCGUAGGUGAACCUGCGGAAGGAUCAUUAUCGUACAAAAUGGGAGGGGCAUGCGAGGGCUGUCGAUGGCCCCAAAGGCGUGCACGCCCGAGUGUGUCCUCUUGCAUAAUAAUCCAUCUCACCCUUUGCGCAUCACCGCGUGGUAACCCUUCGGGAUCAUCUCGGAGGGGGGCUCGCGUGUUCACACAAACCCCCCUUUUAAAAGUGUAGAAUGACCAAAUUUAUGCAAUAAAUACAACUUUCAACAACGGAUCUCUUGGCUCUC
Molecule: unclassified non-coding RNA, 267 nt
Filed under: plant metagenome
Description: partial contains small subunit ribosomal RNA, internal transcribed spacer 1, and 5.8S ribosomal RNA
Source: RNAcentral